RNAcentral lists this unclassified non-coding RNA (253 nucleotides) under uncultured Rhodospirillales bacterium. RNAcentral's name for it is "contains 16S-23S intergenic spacer region". It matches the Rfam family "Bacterial small subunit ribosomal RNA", at positions 524 to 776 of the family's 1533-position model. Lineage: Bacteria; Pseudomonadati; Pseudomonadota; Alphaproteobacteria; Rhodospirillales. The record is from RNAcentral.
UACGGAGGGGGCUAGCGUUGUUCGGAAUUACUGGGCGUAAAGCGCACGUAGGCGGUUUUCCAAGUCAGAUGUGAAAUCCCCGGGCUUAACCUGGGAACUGCAUUUGAUACUGGAUGACUAGAGGCCGGGAGAGGGUAGUGGAAUUCCCAGUGUAGAGGUGAAAUUCGUAGAUAUUGGGAAGAACACCGGUGGCGAAGGCGGCUACCUGGACCGGUACUGACGCUGAGGUGCGAAAGCGUGGGGAGCAAACAGG